UGGGGAAUAUUGCACAAUGGGCGAAAGCCUGAUGCAGCGACGCCGCGUGAGGGAUGACGGCCUUCGGGUUGUAAACCUCUUUCAGUAGGGACGAAGCGCAAGUGACGGUACCUGCAGAAGAAGCACCGGCUAACUACGUGCCAGCAGCCGCGGUAAUACGUAGGGUGCGAGCGUUGUCCGGAAUUACUGGGCGUAAAGAGCUCGUAGGCGGUUUGUCACGUCGUCUGUGAAAUCCUAGGGCUUAACCCUGGACGUGCAGGCGAUACGGGCUGACUUGAGUACUACAGAGGAGACUGGAAUUUCUGGUGUAGCGGUGGAAUGCACAGAUAUCAGGAAGAGCACCGAUGGCGAAGGCAGGUCUCUGGGUAGUAACUGACGCUGAGGAGCGAAAGCAUGGGUAGCGAACAGG
RNAcentral lists this ribosomal RNA (409 nucleotides) under bacterium. RNAcentral's name for it is "partial 16S ribosomal RNA". It matches the Rfam family "Bacterial small subunit ribosomal RNA", at positions 355 to 776 of the family's 1533-position model. The record is from RNAcentral.